AGCUUUGUGCAGUGGCAGUAUCGUAGCCAAUGAGGUUUAUCCGAGGCGCGAUUAUUGCACUCAACAUCGUUAAUCAUUAGAGAAAUGCAAAUC
Molecule: small nuclear RNA, 93 nt
Filed under: Physeter macrocephalus (sperm whale)
Lineage: Eukaryota; Metazoa; Chordata; Mammalia; Artiodactyla; Physeteridae
Description: Physeter catodon (sperm whale) U4 spliceosomal RNA (ENSPCTG00005018650.1)
Rfam family: U4 spliceosomal RNA (bases 1-59)
About the family: U4 small nuclear RNA (U4 snRNA) is a component of the major U2-dependent spliceosome. The structure of U4 snRNA from yeast and human has been reported. U4 snRNA presents a k-turn RNA motif in the 5p-SL related to recognition of Snu13 protein.
Source: RNAcentral